This 72-nucleotide transfer RNA is filed under the name Sphaerodactylus townsendi. RNAcentral's name for it is "tRNA-Ala". The stretch from base 1 to 62 matches the Rfam family "tRNA". From Rfam's summary of the family: Transfer RNA (tRNA) molecules are approximately 80 nucleotides in length. Their secondary structure includes four short double-helical elements and three loops (D, anti-codon, and T loops). The record is from RNAcentral. Lineage: Eukaryota; Metazoa; Chordata; Lepidosauria; Squamata; Sphaerodactylidae.
GGGAUUAUGGCUUAGUAGCAGAGUAUCUGCUUGGCACGCAGAAGUUCCAAGGUUCAAUCCCAAGCAUCUUCA